GAUGAAGAACGUAGCGAAAUGCGAUAAGUAGUGUGAAUUGCAGAAUUCAGUGAAUCAUCGAAUCUUUGAACGCACAUUGCGCCCCUUGGUAUCCCGAGGGGCAUGCCUGUUCGAGCGUCAUUUCACCACUCAAGCCUGGCUUGGUGUUGGGCGACGUCCCCUUUGGGGACGCGCCUCGAAACGCUCGGCGGCGUGGCACCGGCUUUAAGCGUAGCAGAAUCUUUCGCUUUGGAAGUCGGGGCCCCGUCUGCCGGAAGACCUACUCGCAAGGUUGACCUCGGAUCAGGCAGGGAUACCCGCUGAACUUAAGCAUAACAAUAAGCGGAGGA
This 329-nucleotide unclassified non-coding RNA is filed under the name soil metagenome. Its description in RNAcentral is "partial contains 5.8S ribosomal RNA, internal transcribed spacer 2, and large subunit ribosomal RNA". The stretch from base 1 to 120 matches the Rfam family "5.8S ribosomal RNA", at positions 35 to 154 of the family's 154-position model. The record is from RNAcentral.